GACGAACGCUGGCGGCGUGCUUAACACAUGCAAGUCGAACGGAAAGGCCCUGCUUUUGUGGGGUGCUCGAGUGGCGAACGGGUGAGUAACACGUGAGUAACCUGCCCUUGACUUUGGGAUAACUUCAGGAAACUGGGGCUCAUACCGGAUAGGAGCUCCUGCUGCAUGGUGGGGGUUGGAAAGUUUCGGCGGUUGGGGAUGGACUCGCGGCUUAUCAGCUUGUUGGUGGGGUAGUGGCUUACCAAGGCUUUGAAGGGUAGCCGGCCUGAGAGGGUGACCGGCCACAUGGGGACUGAGAUACGGCCCAGACUCCUACGGGAGGCAGCAGUGGGGAAUAUUGCACAAUGGGCGGAAGCCUGAUGCAGCAACGCCGCGUGCGGAAUGACGGCCUUCGGGUUGUAAACCGCUUUCGCCUGUGACGAAGCGUGAGUGACGGUAAUGGGUAAAGAAGCACCGGCUAACUACGUG
RNAcentral lists this ribosomal RNA (468 nucleotides) under uncultured bacterium. Its description in RNAcentral is "partial 16S ribosomal RNA". It matches the Rfam family "Bacterial small subunit ribosomal RNA", at positions 28 to 507 of the family's 1533-position model. The record is from RNAcentral.